This 448-nucleotide ribosomal RNA is filed under the name Pichia fermentans. RNAcentral's name for it is "eukaryotic LSU rRNA". The stretch from base 121 to 273 matches the Rfam family "5.8S ribosomal RNA". The record is from RNAcentral. Lineage: Eukaryota; Fungi; Ascomycota; Pichiomycetes; Pichiales; Pichiaceae.
CUUUCCGUUGGGGGGGCCUGCGGAAGGAUCAUUACUGUGAUUUAUAUCUUAUACACAUGCGUGAGCGCACCAAACACCUAAAAUUGUAAUACUACCAGUCACUAAGUUUUAACAAAACAAAACUUUCAACAACGGAUCUCUUGGUUCUCGCAUCGAUGAAGAGCGCAGCGAAAUGCGAUACCUAGUGUGAAUUGCAGCCAUCGUGAAUCAUCGAGUUCUUGAACGCACAUUGCGCCCCAUGGUAUUCCAUGGGGCAUGCCUGUCUGAGCGUCGUUUCCUUCUUGCGCAAGCAGAGUUGAGAACAGGCUAUGCCUUUUUCGAAAUGGAACGUCGUGGACGAAGUGAACUAAAUUUUUAGCACGCUUUGGCCGCCGAACUUUUAACUAAGCUCGACCUCAGAUCAGGUAGGAAUACCCGCUGAACUUAAGCAUAUCAAUAAGCGGAGGAA